Molecule: ribosomal RNA, 406 nt
Filed under: uncultured bacterium
Lineage: Bacteria
Description: partial 16S ribosomal RNA
Rfam family: Bacterial small subunit ribosomal RNA
Source: RNAcentral
AUUGAACGCUGGCGGCAGGCCUAACCCAUGCAAGUCGAACGAUUGGCGGACGGGUGAGUAAUGUCUGGGACACUUCCUGAUGGAGGGGGAUAACUACUGGAAACGGGCACUUAUACACCAUACACUCGGAUGUGCACAGAUUGGAUUAGCUAGUAGGUAGGGUAAAGGCUCACCUAGGCGACGAUCCCUAGCUGGUCUGAGAGGAUGACCAGCCACACUGGAACUGAGAGACGGUCCAGACUCCUACGGGAGGCAGCAGUGGGGAAUAUUGCACAAUGGGCGCAAGCCUGAUGCAGCCAUGCCGCGUGUAUGAAGAAGGCCUUCGGGUUGUAAAGUACUUUCAGCGGGGAGGCGUUACCCGCAGAAGAAGCACCGGCUAACUCCGUGCCAGCAGCCGCGGUAAUAC